Molecule: ribosomal RNA, 301 nt
Filed under: uncultured bacterium
Lineage: Bacteria
Description: partial 16S ribosomal RNA
Rfam family: Bacterial small subunit ribosomal RNA
Source: RNAcentral
CAGUCGCCGCGGGAAUACGAAGGGGGCUAGCGUUGCUCGGAAUUACUGGGCGUAAAGGGAGCGUAGGCGGGUCGUUUAGUCAGAGGUGAAAUCCCGGGGCUCAACCUCGGAACUGCCUUUGAUACUGGCGACCUUGAGUAUGGGAGAGGUGAGUGGAACUCCGAGUGUAGAGGUGAAAUUCGUAGAUAUUCGGAAGAACACCAGUGGCGAAAGCGACUCACUGGCCCAUUACUGACGCUGAGGCUCGAAAGCGUGGGGAGCAAACAGGAUUAGAUACCCCGGUAGUCCCUGUCUCUUAUAC